This 499-nucleotide ribosomal RNA is filed under the name uncultured bacterium. Its description in RNAcentral is "partial 16S ribosomal RNA". It matches the Rfam family "Bacterial small subunit ribosomal RNA", at positions 28 to 507 of the family's 1533-position model. The record is from RNAcentral.
GACGAACGCUGGCGGCGUGCCUAAUACAUGCAAGUCGAGCGAAGUUUUUCUGGUGCUUGCCCUAGAAAAACUUAGCGGCGAACGGGUGAGUAACACGUAAAGAACCUGCCUCAUAGACUGGGACAACUAUUGGAAACGAUAGCUAAUACCGGAUAACAGCAUUAACUGCAUGGUUGAUGUUUAAAAGUUGGUUUUGCUAACACUAUGAGAUGGCUUUGCGGUGCAUUAGCUAGUUGGUGGGGUAAAGGCCUACCAAGGCUACGAUGCAUAGCCGACCUGAGAGGGUGAUCGGCCACACUGGGACUGAGACACGGCCCAGACUCCUACGGGAGGCAGCAGUAGGGAAUCUUCCGCAAUGGGCGAAAGCCUGACGGAGCAACGCCGCGUGAGUGAAGAAGGAUUUCGGUUCGUAAAGCUCUGUUGUUAGGGAAGAAUGAUUGUGUAGUAACUAUACACAGUAGAGACGGUACCUAACCAGAAAGCCACGGCUAACUACGUG